Molecule: long non-coding RNA, 625 nt
Filed under: Lathyrus oleraceus (garden pea)
Lineage: Eukaryota; Viridiplantae; Streptophyta; Magnoliopsida; Fabales; Fabaceae
Description: Pisum sativum (pea) long non-coding RNA (PSAT_LNC006423)
Source: RNAcentral
GGCUUGAGUUAGGGUAUGGAUUAUUAAAAAGGAAAACAAGUGGCUUUUGGUUCAGAGUCGAUGAUACAUCUUGUGUUUGUUUCUUUUAUUGCCUUGGUUUUCUUUUCACCGAUAACCCAUUUCCGUGCUUCUUUCUUUUGAAUCUUCGAGUUAUCAUUUUUCUCUUUUUAUUUUUCUUUCUUUUUCUCGAUUCAUACAUUUUUUCUUUUUCUUUUGUUUUUGCACUUUCUUGGGCUUUGGAAGCUUUUGGGGGUUUUUACCCCAAACUUAGCUUUUCAACACAACUUUGAAUGCAUUAUCAUGACUCUGAACAGGGUGAGGAAGUGUUUUGGCCAACGGUUAUAUUUAUGGUGUUUAAACAAAAAAAUGGAUAUAGGCUUAAAGGGGGUUAACGAGGGAUAUAAUUAUUCGGGAUGGCUAGAAAGGCUCGGGGUUAAUUACAAACAACGUGCCUUAGUGUGCGUAUCAUGCAGUGACAGUCCCAGAGAGUCUACGCAAAUUUAGAGUGAUAAAGACAAACCUGAAUGACGCUCAUGAUGAUCAAUGUGUUUGGCUUUUUAUGAAUCACUUAGUUUGGUUCCGCUUUGACAGGAUCCACAGUGCUCAUUAAUUUGGUGUGAUCUCU